AGCAGCCGCGGUAAUUCCAGCUCCAAUAGCGUAUAUUAAAGUUGUUGCAGUUAAAAGCUCGUAGUUGAAUUUCGGGAUCAGUAUGUUGGUCGUGCUUCGGUACGUACUGUCAUUACUGGUUUCUACCUUCUGAAGAACCUUGAUGUCAUUAAUUUGGUGUCUUGGGGAAUCAGGACUGUUACUUUGAAAAAAUUAGAGUGUUUAAAGCAAGCAUACGCUUGAAUACAUUAGCAUGGAAUAAUGAAAUAGGACGUUUGAUUCUAUUUUGUUGGUUUCUAGGAUCGACGUAAUGAUUAAUAGGGAUAGUUGGGGGCAUUAGUAUUCAAUUGUCAGAGGUGAAAUUCUUGGAUUUAUUGAAGACUAACUACUGCGAAAGCAUUUGCCAAGGAUGUUUUCAUUAAUCAAGAACGAAAGUUAGGGGAUCGAAGACGAUCAGAUACCGUCGUAGUCUUAACCAUAAACUAUGCCGACUAGGGAUCGGAUGAUGUUAUUUUUAANGACUCAUUCGGCGCCUUAAC
RNAcentral lists this ribosomal RNA (518 nucleotides) under uncultured Glomus. RNAcentral describes it as "SSU rRNA". It matches the Rfam family "Eukaryotic small subunit ribosomal RNA", at positions 569 to 1092 of the family's 1831-position model. The record is from RNAcentral. Lineage: Eukaryota; Fungi; Glomeromycota; Glomeromycetes; Glomerales; Glomeraceae.